Molecule: long non-coding RNA, 1568 nt
Organism: Ictalurus punctatus (channel catfish)
Lineage: Eukaryota; Metazoa; Chordata; Actinopteri; Siluriformes; Ictaluridae
Source: Ensembl
CUCCGCCACGUCCCUGGGCGGCGCUACACUUUGUGAGCUGCCGCGCCGAUUUCUCCGUGUCGUGACAGAACUCAGGAAAAAGCGAGGGUUAUACGCGUGUGAAAGCUGUAGCUAUGAACAUGCAGCAAUAAUGAUCAUUGACCUUUUUGACCUAGGCCUAACUGAUGAGCGUGUCACAAUCUAUGGGAAAGGAAACAACUUGUGUGUGCGUGUGUCUGGAACACAUCGGAACCGGAUUUAACAUGUGUGUCAUCUUAUGAUGUCUGUAUGAUGUGUGCUGUAAAGAACUGGUGUCUCAUGCAAGGUGUAUUCCCACCUCAUGCUCAGUGUUCCUGGGAUCCACCACACGAUCAACUGCCACCAGGAUAAAGCACUUAAUGAAGAUGAAUUAUUUUUUUAAAAAUGUAUAGCAUUAAGAAUAUUAUCUCUUUGACCACAAGGGGGAGCCCAGGAACAAAGGAAAUCCAGUUCUGUUUCCACCUGACAGCAGUGAUCUGGUACAUGAGCUGGUACAUUUUUAUUAACUCUGGCUGUGAUGUAUAAACCUGAUAGCAGUGUGACAGAAUACAUUGAUGAACACUGUCAGUAAAUCAAAGUUUGACAGUGAAACCUUGUGUUUCACUUUAUAAGUAGCUUUUGAUUGUCUGAAUCACUGCCACUGCUGUAAUGUUAAUGUCCUGUGUUGUGUUUUGGACAUUUUCAGUGUUAUGUUAGUCCUGUACAUCAGUGUACCAGUGUGUAGACACGCAGAAAGAGUAAUAUCACUUCUGUUUGAUUCCUCAUUUACUCCUGAACUUUACUGCACUGACAUCCUCUACUUACACUGAAUAAUACUGCAGGAUCCAGUUUCUGCUUUUAGCAACAGAAAUAAAGUACACAUUGUCAUGGUUAAUUUUUAUUAUUUCGGCUCAAUAAAUGUUUUACUACUACAGACUUGAUUGUAUAAAAAUACAAAACAGAAAUGUUGAUAUUUAAAAAGGAACAGGAGUAGUUGUUCACUUGAGUUUACUUGUACUUCAUGUGAUACAUUAUUGCAACACUCCACGCAUAAAUCUCCUCUCCCAACUACAAUUAAAGUUCACGCAGCUGAAAAGAAAAGUCAAACAAAAUAUAAAACACACACCUCAAGGCUGCUCUCAACACUCAACACCAAAAUGAUGAUCAUCAGUGUUACAUGAAAUAGUCUGAGGUUUUAAUAGCACAUUUACACAUUUUCAUUUCAAACAUAGCAUGAUAGAUUUGAUCUUGUUUUUUUUUUUUUGCAGAAGCACAUCUCAAUCCUCAAACACCAUCAAAAUAUUAGCUUUUGUCAUCUCUCUGUUUUUUUAUUUUAAAGAAUAUUUUACUUGUUUAUUUUUACUCAGUACUUUGCAUUAGCAACUUUUGCAGGCAUUAGCUAAACAAAUCAAGUCAGAACAACAAAACUGUCUGUGUUAACAAUAUGAAAUUAAAGCAACAAAUCAGUUUUAUUAUAACAUUCCCAAAAUAACCUUAAAGAAAACAGCACUGCAUCCUCUUUUAACACAUGAAGUUUGCUCACUCCUCUAUGACUGCAUUCUCCAUUCUCC